This is a long non-coding RNA of Bactrocera neohumeralis, 250 nucleotides long. RefSeq lists it as uncharacterized. NCBI's taxonomy places the organism in Eukaryota, Metazoa, Arthropoda, Insecta, Diptera, Tephritidae. The record is from RefSeq and is a predicted model, not a curated record. The transcript is spliced from 3 exons.
UGUUUUUAUAGUCAACCCAUUCUCGAGGCAUACAAAAUGUGGAAGGAGUAUAAAAUUGUCAUUUGUUUCGCAAUGUUUGCACUUUUUGGAGUUACAUUAGCGCGCUCGGAGCCACAGAUUCAAGCAAAAUUCAUUGAGCUGCAACAUACGUUGAGAGAGUUAACUACUUCUGUACUGAAACUGAACCCGAGUGGUGAAAAUACAUCAGAAAAUGAUAAUAAAAAUCCGAUGGACUUUGAAGACUUUAAAC